This 425-nucleotide ribosomal RNA is filed under the name uncultured bacterium. RNAcentral describes it as "bacterial SSU rRNA". It matches the Rfam family "Bacterial small subunit ribosomal RNA", at positions 356 to 773 of the family's 1533-position model. The record is from RNAcentral.
GGGGAAUAUUGGACAAUGGGGGGAACCCUGAUCCAGCAAUGCCGCGUGUGUGAAGAAGGCCUGAGGGUUGUAAAGCACUUUCAGUGGGGAGGAGGAUUGUUUGGUUAAGAGCUGAAUGAUUGGACGUUACCCACAGAAGAAGCACCGGCUAACUCCGUGCCAGCAGCCGCGGUAAUACGGAGGGUGCAAGCGUUAAUCGGAAUUACUGGGCGUAAAGGGUGCGUAGGUUGUUUGAUAAGUUAUCUGUAAAAUCCCCGGGCUUAACCUGGGCAGGUCAGAUAAGACUGUUGAACUCGAGUAUGGGAGAGGGUAGUGGAAUUUCCGGUGUAGCGGUGAAAUGCGUAGAGAUCGGAAGGAACACCAGUGGCGAAGGCGGCUACCUGGCCUAAUACUGACACUGAGGCACGAAAGCGUGGGGAGCAAAC